UGUUUCUUGACUCACAAUAGAAGUUGU
Molecule: small RNA, 27 nt
Filed under: Bombyx mori (domestic silkworm)
Lineage: Eukaryota; Metazoa; Arthropoda; Insecta; Lepidoptera; Bombycidae
Description: ovarian small RNA-36247
Source: RNAcentral